RNAcentral lists this long non-coding RNA (204 nucleotides) under Fukomys damarensis (Damara mole-rat). RNAcentral describes it as "lncRNA (ENSFDAG00000028786.1)". The record is from RNAcentral. Lineage: Eukaryota; Metazoa; Chordata; Mammalia; Rodentia; Bathyergidae.
UUGAAAUAUAGAAUGGAGGUGUAGGACUUUAGCUCAAUGGCUCUGGGCCGCCUAGCAAGUGCAAAGUUCUGAGUUUGAACCCUAAUACUGAAAAAAAGAAAAAAGAAACAUAGAAUGGAAUGUAUUACUAACCUAACUGAAGAGAAGCUUAAAGGCUGAGAAGCGAUUCCCAACGUGUACUGAGAGAAAAUCUCUACAAGGAGC